GGAGGAAAGUAGGGGAUCGCAAGACCUUGCGCUUUUUGAGCGGCCGAUGCCUGAUUAGCUAGUUGGUAAGGUAAUGGCUUACCAAGGCAACGAUCAGUAGCUGGUCUGAGAGGACGACCAGCCACACUGGGACUGAGACACGGCCCAGACUCCUACGGGAGGCAGCAGUGGGGAAUUUUGGACAAUGGGCGAAAGCCUGAUCCAGCCAUGCCGCGUGAGUGAAGAAGGCCUUCGGGUUGUAAAGCUCUUUCGGUCGGGAAGAAAUAGUUGUGGCUAAUAUCCACAAUGAAUGACGGUACUGACAUAAGAAGCACCGGCUAACUACGUGCCAGCAGCCGCGGUAAUACGUAGGGUGCAAGCGUUAAUCGGAAUUAUUGGGCGUAAGGGUGCGCAGGCGGUUGUAUAAGUCAGAUGUGAAAUCCCUGGGCUUAACCUAGGAAUUGCGUUUGAAACUACAAAGCUAG
RNAcentral lists this ribosomal RNA (464 nucleotides) under uncultured bacterium. RNAcentral's name for it is "bacterial SSU rRNA". It matches the Rfam family "Bacterial small subunit ribosomal RNA", at positions 198 to 644 of the family's 1533-position model. The record is from RNAcentral.